GACGAACGCUGGCGGCGUGCUUAACACAUGCAAGUCGAACGGUAAGGCCCUUCGGGUACGACGAGUGGCGAACGGGUGGAGUAACACGUGGGUGAUCUGCCCUGCACUUCGGGAUAAGCCUGGGAAACUGGGUCUAAUACCGGAUAGGACCAUGGACUUCACGGUUUGUGGUGGAAAGCUUUUGCGGUGUGGGAUGGGCCCGCGGCCUAUCAGCUUGUUGGUGGGGUAAUGGCCUACCAAGGCGACGACGGGUAGCCGGCCUGAGAGGGUGUCCGGCCACACUGGGACUGAGAUACGGCCCAGACUCCUACGGGAGGCAGCAGUGGGGAAUAUUGCACAAUGGGCGCAAGCCUGAUGCAGCGACGCCGCGUGAGGGAUGACGGCCU
RNAcentral lists this ribosomal RNA (386 nucleotides) under uncultured bacterium. Its description in RNAcentral is "bacterial SSU rRNA". It matches the Rfam family "Bacterial small subunit ribosomal RNA", at positions 28 to 417 of the family's 1533-position model. The record is from RNAcentral.